UUACGGCCAUAUCACAUUGUAAAAACGGUUCUCAUACGAUCAGCGCAGUUAAGCAACGCUGAACCUGGUCAGUACCUAGAUGGGUAACCACUUUGGAAUAUCAUGUGCG
Acanthosepion pharaonis is the source of this 109-nucleotide non-coding RNA. The record is from the annotation of a GenBank genome assembly. NCBI's taxonomy places the organism in Eukaryota, Metazoa, Mollusca, Cephalopoda, Sepiida, Sepiidae.